GUCUACGGCCAUGCCACUCUGAAUGUGCCCAAUCUCAUCUGAUCUUGGAAGCUAAGCAAGGUUGGGCCUGGUUAGUAGUUGGAUGGGAGACCACCUAGGAAGACCAAGUGCUGUAGGUG
RNAcentral lists this ribosomal RNA (119 nucleotides) under Pteropus alecto (black flying fox). The record is from RNAcentral. Lineage: Eukaryota; Metazoa; Chordata; Mammalia; Chiroptera; Pteropodidae.